RNAcentral lists this ribosomal RNA (882 nucleotides) under Streptomyces sp. PBH53. RNAcentral's name for it is "bacterial LSU rRNA". It matches the Rfam family "Bacterial large subunit ribosomal RNA", at positions 1209 to 1971 of the family's 2925-position model. The record is from RNAcentral. Lineage: Bacteria; Bacillati; Actinomycetota; Actinomycetes; Kitasatosporales; Streptomycetaceae.
AACGGAGGCUGUGAUGGGUAGGGGAGCGUCGUCUGCCGGGUGAAGCGGCACUGGAAGGUAGUCGUGGACGGUUGACGAGUGAGAAUGCAGGCAUGAGUAGCGAUACAAACGUGAGAAACGUUUGCGCCGAUUGACUAAGGGUUCCUGGGUCAAGCUGAUCUGCCCAGGGUAAGUCGGGACCUAAGGCGAGGCCGACAGGCGUAGUCGAUGGAUAACCGGUUGAUAUUCCGGUACCCGCUGUGAAGCGCCAAACAUCGAGCAUCGUGAUGCUAAGGCCGUGAAGCCGUUCCGGACCCUUCGGGGAAUGGAAAGUGGUGGAGCCGCCGAACCAAGCGGUUAGUAGGUGAGUGAUGGGGUGACGCAGGAAGGUAGUCCAUCCCGGGCGGUGGUUGUCCCGGGGUAAGGGUGUAGGCCGCAAGGUAGGCAAAUCCGCCUUGCAUAUGGCUGAGACCUGAUGCCGAGCCGAUUGUGGUGAAGUGGAUGAUCCUAUGCUGUCGAGAAAAGCCUCUAGCGAGUUUCAUGGCGGCCCGUACCCUAAACCGACUCAGGUGGUCAGGUAGAGAAUACCGAGGCGUUCGGGUGAACUAUGGUUAAGGAACUCGGCAAAAUGCCCCCGUAACUUCGGGAGAAGGGGGGCCACAUCCGGUGAUGGAACUUGCUUCCUGAGCUGGGGGUGGCCGCAGAGACCAGCGAGAAGCGACUGUUUACUAAAAACACAGGUCCGUGCGAAGCCGUAAGGCGAUGUAUACGGACUGACGCCUGCCCGGUGCUGGAACGUUAAGGGGACCGGUUAGCUCACUUUCGGGUGGGCGAAGCUGAGAACUUAAGCGCCAGUAAACGGCGGUGGUAACUAUAACCAUCCUAAGGUAGCGAAAUUCCUUG